UACGUAGGGUGCGAGCGUUAAUCGGAAUUACUGGGCGUAAAGCGUGCGCAGGCGGUUUUGUAAGUCUGUCGUGAAAUCCCCCGGGCUUAACCUGGGAAUUGCGAUGGAGACUGCAAGGCUAGAAUCUGGCAGAGGGGGGUAGAAUUCCACGUGUAGCAGUGAAAUGCGUAGAGAUGUGGAGGAACACCGAUGGCGAAGGCAGCCCCCCUGGGUCAAGAUUGACGCUCAUGCACGAAAGCGUGGGGAGCAAACGAGG
This 256-nucleotide ribosomal RNA is filed under the name uncultured bacterium. Its description in RNAcentral is "partial 16S ribosomal RNA". It matches the Rfam family "Bacterial small subunit ribosomal RNA", at positions 524 to 777 of the family's 1533-position model. The record is from RNAcentral.